RNAcentral lists this ribosomal RNA (515 nucleotides) under uncultured eukaryote. RNAcentral's name for it is "bacterial SSU rRNA". It matches the Rfam family "Eukaryotic small subunit ribosomal RNA", at positions 1129 to 1655 of the family's 1831-position model. The record is from RNAcentral.
UCGCAAGGCCGAAACUUAAAGGAAUUGACGGAAGGGCACCACCAGGAGUGGAAUCUGCGGCUUAAUUUGACUCAACGCGGGAAAACUCACCAGGUCAGGACACGGUAAGGAUUGACGGACUGAAGGCUCUUUCUCGAUUCCGUGGAAAGUGGUGCAUGGCCGUUUUUGGUUGGUGGAUCGAUCCGUCUGGUUAAUUCCGUUAACGAACGAGACCUCGGCACUCCGAAUAGCGCGGCGGACGUCGCGGCCUCCGGGCCGUCUUCCGCACGAGCUUCUUAGAGGGACCGUCCCCCGCCGGGGAAGGAGGUGCGAGGCAACGACAGGUCUGUGAUGCCCUUAGAUGUUCUGGGCCGCACGCGCAUUACACUGACGCGUCCAACGGGUGACUCCCGACCCGAAGGGGCCGGGGAAUCCGCAAGGCGCGUCGUGAUGGGGAUUGAACGUUGCAAUUGUUGUUCACGAACGAGGAAUUCCUAGUAGGCGCGGGUCAUCAACCCGCGCCGAUUACGUCCCUG